CCUACGAGAGGCAGCAGUGAGGAAUAUUGGUCAAUGGACGCAAGUCUGAACCAGCCAUGCCGCGUGCAGGAAGACGGCUCUAUGAGUUGUAAACUGCUUUUGUACGAGGGUAAACUCAGAUACGCGUAUCUGUCUGAAAGUAUCGUACGAAUAAGGCUCGGCUAACUCCGUGCCAGCAGCCGCGGUAAUACGGAGGAUUCAAGCGUUAUCCGGAUUUAUUGGGUUUAAAGGGUGCGUAGGCGGGCGGAUAAGUUAGAGGUGAAAUCUCGAGGCGCAACUUCGGAAUUGCCUCGGAUACUGUUCGGCUAGAGAGUAGUUGCGGUAGGCGGAAUGUAUGGUGUAGCGGUGAAAUGCUUAGAGAUCAUACAGAACACCGAUUGCGAAGGCAGCUUACCAAGCUACUUCUGACGUUGAGGCACGAAAGCGUGGGGAGCAAACAGGAUUAGAUACCCUAGUAGUC
Molecule: ribosomal RNA, 460 nt
Filed under: uncultured bacterium
Lineage: Bacteria
Description: partial 16S ribosomal RNA
Rfam family: Bacterial small subunit ribosomal RNA
Source: RNAcentral